AGUCCACAAAAGCAGAUUUCACGCUGGGGCUGGCCUAUCUGUAUUCGCUUAUUCACACGUUAUGGCCGUAAUCAGCAUAAAAUAUUGCCUGACUGAAGACUAAUACUUGGAAGGUCUAUCUAAACUGUCUGUGCGUGUGUGUGGUCAAAAUUACCGUAGCACAUUGCCACUCAAAUGUUAGAUAGCCCGAUUAGAAGCAUAUAGUAGUCGCUCAAUGAGUCCAUGUCAAGACCCAGUGCCAGUAGACGAGACAAGUUGUCAAGGCAAGUUGUGUUGUUUGCGAUCCGGUCGCAUACAAUAUGAAGAAUCCGUUGUGGUUCCUAUUUUGGCUGAUCGUGUUGAUGUUCGUAUCGUUUAUUGUGGCGCUUCUUGGCGCAUUUUUUUACAUUUGGACCUAUUUGUUGGCCCAAUGCAGCAGCUGUUUUCGGAGUGUUGCCGAGUUCUUUUUGAAGUGCCUUCAGUUUCCAGGCUAUUGUGCGGCCGCCAUGUUGAAUUGCCAAUCGUUGUGUUAGGCACAUUAAUCGACUUUCGCUGACAUCGAUAAAUCACAGCACAGACAAUCGAAGUGUGUUCGCGCUAGAGAUUGUGUUUUUCUUACGCGGCUGGGCACACUUAACGCCCACAAUAAGUGCAAGGCAAUCAGCUUGCUGUCAGAAAGAUUAGCCUUUCAGAUAAGUAAAAAUUGGCGUUACCAUAAUAUAGGGUACACACACACGAUACACUCACAAUAACUUUGUGCACGUGUGUGUAUGCAU
Molecule: long non-coding RNA, 755 nt
Organism: Drosophila montana
Lineage: Eukaryota; Metazoa; Arthropoda; Insecta; Diptera; Drosophilidae
Exons: 4
Source: RefSeq, a predicted model, not a curated record